Long non-coding RNA from Hippoglossus stenolepis (Pacific halibut), 1411 nucleotides. RefSeq lists it as uncharacterized. The transcript has 3 exons. Lineage: Eukaryota; Metazoa; Chordata; Actinopteri; Pleuronectiformes; Pleuronectidae. The record is from RefSeq and is a predicted model, not a curated record.
GCUGCCAGCAAGCGUGCAAAGAAGAGGAGGGGGAGCGAGCGCACGCAGGAGGAGGAGGAGGAGUGAGAGAGGGAGAGGGAGAGAGAGAGUGCAAACAAUGUCAUUCUGUUCAGGAGGCAAUACUGCAGUCAACUUUGCCGCGCCAUGGAAGCACAUCACCAGCGACCAAGAGGCUCAGAGUGAGUGCAGAGAAGUUUUCCUCCUCUCCUGUCAGGGUGCGAUGCCGUCCGAGACCCAUCUGUAGGAGCAGGCUCACACACCAGGUCCGGCUGUUGGUGGUGCGCUGGAACAUGCCUUGACUUGUUGUGCUGCCUGAGAAGAAAAGAGAGCGAGAGAGAGAGCGAGAGAGAGAGAGAGGCAACGACACAGAGAGAGUGAGAGGAGACUCAGUUUGCCUGGGUUAAGAGGAGAGCCCUGCAGCAGCCGUGGACAGACUCCUCUCCAUGUCAACACUCACUGAAGACGAUUGUGGAUGGAGGAGCGCCACUGACGCCUCGACGCUCACUGGGGGCCUGUUGGCAACAGGACCACCCCACCCCCCCAGGUGGGUGAGACCGUUGCCUUCCAGCCACCACCACCACCACCACCACCACAAAGCCGGACAUGAAAAGAGCCGAUCGUCCAUGGUGCCAGACUCACAGGUGGAAGUGCACGGCGAGGAGAAGAGCGAGCGAGAGGGAGGCAGGCGGGGGAACGGAUCUGCUCGGACGCGGGUGCUGUGGGUGUUUCUAUGGCAGUGUCUUAGCUGGUUGUUGUGAGGAGUGAGAACGAAGCAAUCAGCAAGUAUACUGCCGCAGAAAUUCUUCGCAAUAAGAGGCCCAGGGACCGCAGCCAUCACCGGGAGAAAAAACGAGAGGGAGGAAAGAAAAGAAAAAAGACCUAAAUCAGCACUGUAGCAAACAAGGAUCCUGCUGCUACUGUAAGUUUUAACACGUGUGCUGACGCAGUAGAAAAUAACAGGAGCAGAGGACACGUUGGAGAGAGAUUGACCGAGAGCAUGACCCACUUUGUUUACAGCCACUUACAUAUUUACUGUCUGAUCAAUGCAUCAAACUUCUGCCCUCUGGUCGGUAUUUUUAUGAUCCUCUGCUGCCAUCUUGUGUCUGAAACCUCCCAGCAUGCAUUUCUUCAUCAAACACUGCAUCAAUCUGAAAAACCCAUGAUGCGUUUGAAACAACCUGAAAUCCCAGUCAUUAAGAAACUUUUACUUAGUUUACCAUGAUGUGAUUUUUGAUAUAUUUCAGUUGCAGAUGCAUUUUGUUUUCUUUAAACAACUUCCUGUAUGUUACCAAAAUAAAUGGUGAAUAUGUAUUAAUAUAAACCCUGAUGUAUUAGUUGUAGCCUAAUCAUGUAUUCAUGUCACAUAAUCAAACUGUACCACACAACAGAAUAAAUAAAAGUUACAGAGACA